GGAUUAGAUACCCGGGUAGUCCACGCCGUAAACUAUGGAUGCUAGCUGUAAGAGGUAUCGACCCCUCUUGUAGCGAAGCUAACGCGUUAAGCAUCCCACCUGUGGAGUACGGUCGCAAGACUAAAACAUAAAGGAAUUGACGGGGACCCGCACAAGCGGUGGAGCGUGUUGUUUAAUUCGAUGGUAAACGAAGAACCUUACCCAGGUUUGACAUCCUUGGAAUUUUGCCGAAAGGCGAGAGUGCUUUAUUGAGCCAAGUGACAGGUGUUGCAUGGCCGUCGUCAGCUCGUGUCGUGAGAUGUUUGGUUAAGUCCAUCAACGAGCGCAACCCUUAUAGUCUGUUGUAUUUCUCAGGCUAGACUGCCCUGGUAACAGGGAGGAAGGGGGGAUGAUG
This 394-nucleotide ribosomal RNA is filed under the name uncultured bacterium. RNAcentral describes it as "bacterial SSU rRNA". It matches the Rfam family "Bacterial small subunit ribosomal RNA", at positions 775 to 1184 of the family's 1533-position model. The record is from RNAcentral.